This 194-nucleotide ribosomal RNA is filed under the name uncultured bacterium. RNAcentral describes it as "partial 16S ribosomal RNA". It matches the Rfam family "Bacterial small subunit ribosomal RNA", at positions 338 to 524 of the family's 1533-position model. The record is from RNAcentral.
CCUACGGGAGGCAGCAGUGGGGAAUAUUGCACAAUGGGCGCAAGCCUGAUGCAGCCAUGCCGCGUGUGUGAAGAAGGCCUUCGGGUUGUAAAGCACUUUCAGCGAGGAGGAAAGGAUGUAAGUUAAUAUCUUGCAUCUGUGACGUUACUCGCAGAAGAAGGACCGGCUAACUCCGUGCCAGCAGCCGCGGUAAU